Molecule: long non-coding RNA, 1728 nt
Filed under: Mus musculus (house mouse)
Lineage: Eukaryota; Metazoa; Chordata; Mammalia; Rodentia; Muridae
Description: long non-coding RNA chr3:121371715-121373443
Source: RNAcentral
CAAAGUAACCGAACUUGGAGAAACUGGCUUCUUCUGAAAGUUAUUUUUCCAGUUAGCUUUUCAUUUUAUUUGCAGUGCCAGGCUGGAAACCAUGCACACAUUAGACUUAGCUGUAUUUCCGGCCCUAAUUACCUGUUGCUCUGCAUCAAUUUACAAAUUAGCGGUGGGAAACAAGCAUCAUUUAAUGAAGCCCACAGACUCUGUGGGUCAGCACUUCACAGGGUCUAGAAGGAAAGGCUUCUUCAGCUUCAUGGUGUCUGAGCUUCAGUGGGGAGACAGGGGGGUGGAGGACACUAAAAGGGCUAGGAGUGACUCAACAGGCUCAGCUCGAAGAUCCAAGGCCUGAAGCACCAUGACUCAAGUUUGUACUAAGAUCUGUCAACACGGUGUCUACGCACAGCCUGCCCAUCCGUGAGCCUUGAGUUCCUCUGCAGUGUGGCUGGGUUCACUCUUCCAGAGAGUGAUCAUAUCAGGACUCUGAGUGCAAAUGUCACUUCAGGUGUGUUCCAAGUAGCUAAGGACCUCAAAUUCAGGAAAAGACAGUUCAGAGGGAAGAGAGAAGCUGAGGCGUAAAAGACCAAUUUGAAAACUAUAAUGCCAGACAUGGUGCAUGCCUUUGACCCCAGCACUUGAGAGGCAGAGGCAUGGGAUCUCUGCGAGUUUGAGGCCAGUCUCUUUGUUCUACAUAGGGAGUUCCAGGAGAGCCAGGCCUACAUAGUGAGACCUUGUCUGGAAAAAAAAGAAAAAAAAGUCUAGUACAUUUCCGUCACACUGGCCCAGGGGGCAGGAGAGGCCAUGCUGGUGUGAUUAAAAAUGAGACCACUUUACUGAGCUUGAAGGAGCAAGUUAUUCCAUGCUGGCCAUAGUGGUUUCCACUGGGAUAUAAUUCACAUAAAAUCCACCCAUGUGUAGUUCAGUGGGUUUUAGUACAUUCACAGUUGUAUGACCAUGAUUACGAAUUCCAGACACACAUAACUCACAUGUGUUAGAAGUAACUCUUCCAUGUCACCUUCCACUGCCCUCGGAUUCUGCUGGCCCAAUUUCUCUCUGUGGAUUGGUCAUUUAUAAGAAGGAUUUAUUUGUCUUUUGUUACUAGCUUCUUUCACUUAACAUAGUAUUUUCAAGUUUCACUGAUAGAAUACAGUGCAUGUGUGCGUGUGUGUGUGUGGUAGUGUAUGGUGUGUAUGUGUGUGGUAUAGGGUAUGUACACACUCAUGAGUGCAUGUAACUAUACAUACUGAAGUACAAUGUCCUUCUCAGUCACCCUCCAUCUUAUUCUUUGAGAUGUGGUUUUUUUCACUGAAUUUGAGUUUACUGGUAGAGAUAGACUGGCUGGCCAGCAAGUUCUGUUGAUCAGCAUCUCUCUGCUGCCCCUAACCCUGAACUGUACUGCAGGAACAUGCUGCUAUGCCUGAUUUAUCACAUGGGCGCUGGGAGCCUGACCUCUGGCCUUCAUCCUUACAUGACAAGCACAUUUGACUGAGCCAUCUCCCUAGUCCCUAUUCCAUUCCUUUUAUCGAUUGAAUAAUAUUCCAUUGUCUGUCUCUACCUGGCACAUUUCAUUUACCCAUUUAAUAGUUGACGGACAUUUCAGUAAUUCCUGGUUUGGGGCUGUUUUAUGUAAUGAUGUUGUGAAUAUUGUGGUUUGUUUGUUUGUUUUCAUGAAAUACAUUUGCAAUCUCUAGGGAAAUAUAGCUAACGAUGGGACUGCUGGUGAUGAACGCCCAA